UGGGGAAUAUUGCACAAUGGGGGAAACCCUGAUGCAGCAACGCCGCGUGAAGGAAGACGGUUUUCGGAUUGUAAACUUCUGUUCUUAGUGAAGAAUAAUGACGGUAGCUAAGGAGCAAGCCACGGCUAACUACGUGCCAGCAGCCGCGGUAAUACGUAGGUGGCAAGCGUUGUCCGGAAUUACUGGGUGUAAAGGGAGCGCAGGCGGGAGACCAAGUCAGCUGUGAAAACUACGGGCUUAACCUGUAGACUGCAGUUGAAACUGGUUUCUUGAGUGAAGUAGAGGUUGGCGGAAUUCCGAGUGUAGCGGUGAAAUGCGUAGAUAUUCGGAGGAACACCGGUGGCGAGCGCAACUGGCUUUAACUGACGCUGAGGCUCGAAAGUGUGGGGAGCAAACAGGAUUAGAUACC
This 409-nucleotide ribosomal RNA is filed under the name uncultured bacterium. RNAcentral describes it as "bacterial SSU rRNA". It matches the Rfam family "Bacterial small subunit ribosomal RNA", at positions 355 to 786 of the family's 1533-position model. The record is from RNAcentral.